Molecule: long non-coding RNA, 674 nt
Filed under: Nicotiana tabacum (common tobacco)
Lineage: Eukaryota; Viridiplantae; Streptophyta; Magnoliopsida; Solanales; Solanaceae
Description: long non-coding RNA (NTAB_LNC015101)
Source: RNAcentral
UGAUAUGAUAAUAUUCAAACCGAAAACCGAACCGAAAUAACCGAACCGAAAUUAGAAAAACCGAACUGAACCGAACUUAUUUUAGUUCGGUUUCGGUUACUACUUUUACAAAACCGAAAACCGAUUAACCGAACCGAAUUUCUUCAACAAACCGAACCGACCGAAUGCCCACCCCUACCUCUACCACAUUAAUUGGGACAGAGCGAGUAACUGAAAAUGACGAAAAGGAUAUGAUGGGAAGAUCAAGAUUAGAAAAAUUACACAAUGAAACUAAUUAAAGAAAUUCUUAAUUUUUUUUUUCUCAGUUUACAGCCAAAAAAUUUCAUCAUCAUAAAAUUCUUCGCAAAAAGAGAAUUAUAAAUGCUAGAAAUUCCUAAACUUCUAAAAUUUAUACCCUUUCAUUUGGUGCUUGAUUUUUGAACCAUAGGAUGAAUCUUCUUCUUCUUCUUCUCAUUAUUGUUGCCUUCGUUUCCUUUUGCUUUUUCGUUCUCCAUUUUUGUCUGAUUCUCCUUUAAACGCUUUUGCUGCACAUAAAGAUGGCCAUAGUUUAAUCCCAUUGAAGACAUAGCUACAAAAUACACAAAAAAAAAAUGUACUCUCAAUUGGUUUAAUCUUCAAAUCUGUCAAACCCAAGUUCAGAAUUUAUAGCCAAAUAAUUGAAUAUCCUAUUCUUC